GGGUUUGGAGGGGAAGCGGAU
This 21-nucleotide microRNA is filed under the name Plutella xylostella (diamondback moth). RNAcentral describes it as "pxy-miR-6497". Lineage: Eukaryota; Metazoa; Arthropoda; Insecta; Lepidoptera; Plutellidae. The record is from miRBase by way of RNAcentral.